AAAAAUGUCUGUUUUUUGUUUUUGUAGAUGUUAAAAGCCAGAGACAUGGGAGAGCAUCAUUCUUUUGAGAUUUUAUAACUCAAACCAACUUUGGAGUUGUCUGAUUUGGAGAGUCAUCAUUCUUGGUCUUCCUUCUUAAAGGCCACUGAUGAAGAGCAGGCGGUGACUGGGAUGAAUGCUGGUGAAAGAAGAGAACAUCCUUUCCUCUAAACUCAUGCAGCAGUGGUUUUAAAGGAGGACGCUGCCCCGGAUGAUGUAGAUGUCACAUGUGCUGAUGGAGCUUCUUCAUGACUAAAUCAGUUAUGCUAAAGAGAUCAUGAAAAUUGACCGUGAUGCUUGAUCUGUAUUCAUGGACUAUGAAACAAACUGUAAGUGUAUAAUUUGUAAAAACAA
Carassius carassius (crucian carp) is the source of this 393-nucleotide long non-coding RNA. RefSeq lists it as uncharacterized. The record is from RefSeq and is a predicted model, not a curated record. The transcript has 3 exons. Lineage: Eukaryota; Metazoa; Chordata; Actinopteri; Cypriniformes; Cyprinidae.